GCCCAGGUGGUGGAAUUGGUAGACACGCUACUUUGAGGGGGUAGUGAGAGAACUCUCGUGCAAGUUCGACUCUUGUCCUGGGCA
RNAcentral lists this transfer RNA (84 nucleotides) under Bacteroidales bacterium. Its description in RNAcentral is "tRNA-Leu". It matches the Rfam family "tRNA". Rfam says of the family: Transfer RNA (tRNA) molecules are approximately 80 nucleotides in length. Lineage: Bacteria; Pseudomonadati; Bacteroidota; Bacteroidia; Bacteroidales. The record is from RNAcentral.